Long non-coding RNA from Ictalurus punctatus (channel catfish), 3126 nucleotides. RefSeq lists it as uncharacterized. The transcript is spliced from 2 exons. The record is from RefSeq and is a predicted model, not a curated record. NCBI's taxonomy places the organism in Eukaryota, Metazoa, Chordata, Actinopteri, Siluriformes, Ictaluridae.
CCAAAUUGUCUGGUUAAGGGUGUGUGGGGAGAGUGUGGGGCAUCAGGAAGGUGGAGGGGAGUUUUCUACAGUGUCUCAAAUACCAAAAAUAUCAAAGAAAACUGAAGCCAAAGCAUCACCACAACGGAAUUCUGAGGGGGUUAUUUUGGGCAUCAAGUUAAUUUAUUUUUUCGACACCCAGAAACUCUGGGAUUCAAUUCGACAUCAAGAUAUCUUCUGUUCCAGAAACUGUUUUGGAUUAAGUCAUAGACGCAGUACCUUCAGGAUCAACUGACUUUAUGGGGUGCCUCCAUUCUUGAAGCUCAACAGCAGAUAUAAAACUUUUCUCCAAAUCUUUGUCAUUACACGCCAAGACCACACCAGAUCAGGAACUAUAAAUAUGAAUUUAGUUGAUUCAUCUCUACAAACAGUUUGGCCAUGAAGCCCAUAACAUCUAAUAUUCAGUUUUCCAUCAAGUAUGACGAAGUUAAUUGUCUAUUGCAUGUGUUAAGUAAAUGGCAAAUGUAUGUAAAUUCUGAGGGUUGACAGAGGUUGAGAUUAGAAGGUUUGACAUCCUGUACUGAACAUAGAGUCUAUAAAGGAGUGAUGAUUGGUCAAUAUUAGGAAAUUCAGAAAGCAAGAAGUUUGGGUAAAUAUAAAUGUGAUUUAAGGACAGAGACUACAAGAGAGUAAUGAAAUCACAAACACAAAAAUAGUGUUUGGAUCCAUUCCAUACCACAACGUUUGUUUGUUUAGCAUUUUAAUUAACCCAAAUUUUAAUUAUAAAUUACGGCAUUUCAAUGGUCUCAAACUCAUUCAGCAAUCUUUAAAGUGAGACUGGAAUUUAUAUUAUAAUAAAUCUUUCCUGGUGAGCACAAACUAUCUUUUCAAAAAAUAAAAAGAGAGACGCAGGAGAAGUUUGGAGAAGGAAACAAGUCACAGCAGUGAAGUGCCCUUGUCCCUCCCUGUCUCUGAAGGGCACUCCAGAUAACAAGUGGUUCACCUUAAAUACCAUGUUACCUCAUGUUUCACACAUCAAUUCAUUUCUUCCUUCGAAGCUAAAUCCCAGGUUCUCCCUCACGAUGGGAGGAAAAAGCUCAAGAAUGCUACAAGAAAUAAAUAAUAAACAAUUAUAAUACAAUAUUAAUGUUAAAAUGUUAUUUUGUCUUAGGUUGAACAUGCUGCCACCACCAACUUCCCUAAGCAUCUGCCACAUGAAUUAGCCUUCUAUACGAGACAAAUUACUUCUAUUCCUCCUAUUCAACAGCCUGCACUUCUGCCUAGUUUCCACAACAGCCUUUGUCUUUUUAAACGUCUUUACAUAAUGUUUUGAGCAAGGGCCAUUGUUCCCUGGACUUACACUCUUAUUUGCAACUCCAGGAAUCAAUGAAUUCAGGGAAGAGACUUAUUUUAUGCUAAGCUCAAAAUGUUUUCUUUACGUUCUUGCUGAAAUCGUGUCAUGCAAAUUUUCAUUCAGCCCUCAAACAUGUGGAGACUUACUUAAAACAGAGACUUUCUUCAGACCUGCUGGAACUCCGACCUCUCAUCUUUUACCUGGAAAAGAAGUCAUCAUGCCCCACGCAAAACCCCAGGAUCACCCUGUGAUGAUGAUGAUGAUGAUACCACUUACUCCUGUGUUACUGUCCUUAUAUUAUGUUUUAUAUCACUGUAUUCAUGUCAUAUAAAUGGAGAUCAUAAUAAUCCAUGCAUAAAGUGACUCAUGCUGAUAAAGGAUCAGCGCCCUCAUUGUCUAUAUAACAUUGGGAAAUGAAAGCCAAAAACUGAUCCCAGUUAGAACAGUCUCUUAAUUUCUAUACCUAUGAUUUCAGACGUAUGCGCCUCUGUAGAAUGUGUUGUAAGGCACCGAUACAGAUGAAAUGCCCUAAAAAUACUGGUUUUAUUUCGAAAAGGUAAACGUAAACCGUGUCGGCAUGUAAAACUGUGUGUAGUGUGGAUUAUGUCUGUGAAAUGUGUGAAAGGUCGAAGGGUUUUUAAAAAACAACAACUACAUCAUAACUAAUGCUUUAGACAUUAAUGUUGAUCCACCACAGAUGGAACAGGUUGGGCAAGGACAAGUGAAACCAACUGUGUUUUUGAAUGUCUAAUCAAGUUUAGUCGUUCUUCAUGUAGCCUACAAGCCUGUUCAGACAGUGGUGCUGGGAAAUUUGUACCGUAUUUAAAAACACAAACAUAAAAAAAACAACAUUUAAGUGAUUGAACUAUUGCACUUGUAGGAAUUUUUCAUGUCACCAUCCUUUAGAACACAUAUUCCUAACAGGACAUACCUCAUGUCCUGCACAUUUUAGUGUCUUCCCUGGUCCCAUCAUAUCUGGUUCAACUAGUCAUCUAAUAAAGAGCUCUAAGCUGACAUGGGCAAGCAGGGAAAGCAUAAAAUUGUGUAGGACAAGGGGUUCCUCAGGACCAGGGCUGGUUGGUUCACCAAGAAACAGUGCCAUGCUGCCCUCUAGAGGGUUUGAGAGCAAUGAAAAGUCUAUGUUUUGACCAGCACUAUUUAAGAAUACUUAAAAGUAGUUACCGGUUAAUCACCACCCCAGAUGCAACAUAUAUGAUAAGACAUUAAGCCACUGCUGAUGUCUGAUAUCAGAGGAACCUAUUUGAUUUUGAACUAUUUGAUCAAUAAACACGAGUGGGCAAAUCAAUAGAGAACACGGUCUGGCAACUGAGAGUUAAGGGACACCGACAAGCAAGCUGAAAACCAGACCAAGAAACACAGAAGGUUUCAGAUACAUAAAGUUUUACAGUCCUUAAGAACUAAUUUAUGUAGUUACUCUAAAAUGUAAUGGCCAUUUACUGUUGAGAUGUCUAUUCUAGCAACUAUUAAUUAAAUUUCAGGCUUUAACAGUUUUAUUCUAUUCAAGUCCUUGUCUUAUGUAGCUUGUCUUUAAAUGUCUGAGAUUAGAUUGGUCUUCAUGUGGUCAAAUAGGGGUCCUGGAGGAAAAAAAUGGCCACUGUUCUUGUCAGUGAAAAUGUCUUUGUGUUUACUGAAAAUCCAUUUUUGAAGUUCUUUUUUUUCCCCCCCUCUUUCUUGCUGUUUUGGGAUGUUACAUGUUUAACCAGUCUUCAAUAGACACCUGGAAAGGGAGGUUCUGAUUGUAGUGCUUGUUUAAUAAACAGUUGCUGACUUUU